Molecule: small RNA, 76 nt
Filed under: Xanthomonas arboricola
Lineage: Bacteria; Pseudomonadati; Pseudomonadota; Gammaproteobacteria; Lysobacterales; Lysobacteraceae
Also listed under: 1 other name
Description: sX9 sRNA
Rfam family: Xanthomonas sRNA sX9
Source: RNAcentral
AUGCACCACUCUUACGCCGCGAUUCCUUCGCGUCAUCCGCACUCGCCUGGCGACUGCACGCUAAGUUUCGCUAGCC